Molecule: ribosomal RNA, 253 nt
Filed under: uncultured bacterium
Lineage: Bacteria
Description: partial 16S ribosomal RNA
Rfam family: Bacterial small subunit ribosomal RNA
Source: RNAcentral
UGCGUAGGGGGCUAGCGUUGUCCGGAAUCAUUGGGCGUAAAGCGCGUGUAGGCGGCCCGGUAAGUCCGCUGUGAAAGUCGGGGGCUCAACCCUCGGAUGCCGGUGGAUACUGUCGGGCUCGAGUACGGAAGAGGCGAGUGGAAUUCCUGGUGUAGCGGUGAAAUGCGCAGAUAUCAGGAGGAACACCGAUUGCGAAGGCAGCUCGCUGGGACGUGACUGACGCUGAGACGCGAAAGCGUGGGGAGCAAACAGG